Molecule: ribosomal RNA, 501 nt
Filed under: Palibythus magnificus
Lineage: Eukaryota; Metazoa; Arthropoda; Malacostraca; Decapoda; Synaxidae
Description: partial 28S ribosomal RNA
Source: RNAcentral
UAAUUUGCCGACUUCCCUUACCUACAUUAAUCUAUCGACCAGRGCUUCUUACCUCGGAGACCGGCUGCGGAUAUGGGUACGCACUGGCCCGAGAUUAGGCGUCGCGGACUUUGGGGAGUCCGCUCGACCUCAGUUACCGCCCUCGCGUGUUUCACGGGCCGGCGGUGGCGCUCGGGACGCCGCAAGAACCGCGGCGCUCUACGGCUCACCGUGUUACAAACACCCUUUCUCUCUGCGAAUGGCUUCCAGGGUCACGGCGCCUUAAACAGAAAAGAAAACUCUUUCCCGGACCACCGCCGACGGACGCGAGCUGGUUCCCGUUACCGGGUUCCUGCACAGAGCAGCAUUCCCCUGCCCGGGGGGGCAAGGGCGCUUACACCUGCUAGGCAUCCGGGUCCUGGUUACGGAAUAAUGACCGUAUUCCCUUUCGCCACUAAUCCCCUCUGGCAACUCCCUGUGGGCUGCCAAGGCAAAGCUAAGCAAGCAAGCAAGCAAGCAAGC